GCUCAUCACCCACAAACAAAGCACAAGGGCCAAACAUAAAGAUACAAAACAAACAAAAAAAGAGGUUUUUUCUUGUGAAAUUCUCUCUAAUUUGCUUUUCUGAUGAAUGAUUUUGAAAUGAAAACAGUGACUUUCAUAGGUCCCAAUGAGCUAAGAAAACAUUUCCACCCCAUGUUCAUCCUUGCGUUUGUUUUGUAACCAUUCAUGCAUUAACCACCUCAUUCUAUGGUUUUUCUUACCUUUUAACUUUGUCUUUAUCUCUCUCUUCCACUAAAGCAAGGAUAGCCUGUCAGUCUCCGCCUCCCGACUUAGGUAUCAUGCCUGUUGCCAUUAUGUAUAGCUCAUACUUUUUGACCCCAAAAAAAUGUAUAGCUCAUACUUUGUCGUUAGGUAAAGAUUGUCACUAUAUCCGAAUUGUUGUUAUCAAUAUGAAUGUUCUCAAGGUGUAGUUUUUUGGAAUAUAACACAUCACAUGUUCAGUCGUAGCGCAUAUCAAUGUGCUUUGAACUCGGGUGAAAAUUCGAGUUUUUUCUUGGGUUGAGUUAUUAGGCUAUCUCUAACUUAUGAGGCCAAACUCAAAAUAUCCCAAAUUUUAGUCUACUUCCCCUCUCAACUCAAGAAAAUUAAGGGGCCAAAAUUUGGGAAAACUCGAACUUGGG
Molecule: long non-coding RNA, 659 nt
Filed under: Prunus dulcis (almond)
Lineage: Eukaryota; Viridiplantae; Streptophyta; Magnoliopsida; Rosales; Rosaceae
Description: sRNA ncRNA
Source: RNAcentral